Molecule: unclassified non-coding RNA, 410 nt
Filed under: Hevea brasiliensis (rubber tree)
Lineage: Eukaryota; Viridiplantae; Streptophyta; Magnoliopsida; Malpighiales; Euphorbiaceae
Source: RNAcentral
UGCGGGUCGAAAGGGGGCUGAGGAGAGGGGGUUGGGUAGAGACCCUCGGAAGAAGGAAAAUGACUUGGACCGGGAGGAUCGCCGGGGAGUGGGAGCACACCCAACACACACAAGGAAUUUCUAAAAAAGAAGGAAGUAAGGUUGUUGUAACACUGAACUCCAGUUCUGAGUAAUAUAUAUAGAAAGAGGGCCCAUUUUACAAAAUAAAGAAAGCGUUGAACCUUGUUAUUUGUAAAUAAAAAACAAUAAAUCCUGACCGAUAGAUGAAAAGGAAAAAACUUCAAAGCAAUGGACAACAAAAAGACAAGAAGGCAUGACCAGAAGAAUUGUGUGAAAUAAGUAAAUUUAUCCAGUUGAGGCAUUCCCGUUUUUAAAAAAAUCACGUACAGAAAAAAGCUCCUCUCCUCGGA